UACGUAGGGGCGAGCGUUGUCCGGAAUUAUUGGGCGGUAAAGGGUACGCAGGCGGUUCUUUAAGUCUGAUGUGAAAUCUCACAGCUUAACUGUGAGCGGUCAUUGGAAACUGAGGAACUUGAGUAUAGAAGAGAAGAGUGGAAUUCCAAGUGUAGCGGUGAAAUGCGUAGAUAUUUGGAGGAACACCAGUGGCGAAGGCGACUCUUUGGUCUAUUACUGACGCUGAGGUACGAAAGCAUGGGUAGCAAACAGGAUUAGAUACCCCCGUACGUCCU
Molecule: ribosomal RNA, 275 nt
Filed under: uncultured prokaryote
Description: partial 16S ribosomal RNA
Rfam family: Bacterial small subunit ribosomal RNA
Source: RNAcentral